GGGAGAUGGGGAUACAGUGUUGAUUCCUUUCUAUUUAUUUGAUAUAGAUAUUUAUUACUAUAAAUUUCCCUCUUAGAUGUGUGUGUGUUUGUUUGUGUGUGUGUGUGUGUGUGUGUGUGUGUGUGUGUGAGAGAGAGAGAGAGAGAGACUGGUGAUUGAAUCAGGGCCACACACAUGCUAAGUAAAAGCUCUGCAACUAAGCUAUAUUCCCA
This 212-nucleotide small RNA is filed under the name Marmota monax (woodchuck). The record is from RNAcentral. Lineage: Eukaryota; Metazoa; Chordata; Mammalia; Rodentia; Sciuridae.